Molecule: long non-coding RNA, 688 nt
Filed under: Equus caballus (horse)
Lineage: Eukaryota; Metazoa; Chordata; Mammalia; Perissodactyla; Equidae
Description: lncRNA (ENSECAG00000045386.1)
Source: RNAcentral
GUAAUGUUCUAUCAUAUUGUCUGUCACAUGGAAUUGUACUGGUCUACCUCCUUGUCUUUGCCCCACUAGCCCAUGGAGGCAACAAAGGCAUAUGCGACCUCUGCCUGCACAUAGGUGAUGUCCCACAAAUUUCUAAUGACUGAAUGAAAGGUCUACUAUUACUUUUUGUUUAAUAACUAUGUGAUAGUAAUGAUUAACUCAAGACGAGGGGCCAUGAGCAGUAUCCUGACCCCCACGUUUUCCCGAGGCCAGGGCCAGGAUAAGUGCUACAAGGCUGCCAUUAGAUGCAGAGUCUGGUGCCUGAGAUUAGGCUGGGGGCCAAGGCAGUGUGGAAGUUGGAGCAUCAUGGGCCCAGACUUGGGUAAGUCUAACACCUUAGCUAAGGUGUUACUUACUUAGGUAAGUCCUAACACCAGCUCUACUGCCUGGCUCUGCUUACUCUAUGCCUGCAGGUGAAGAAACAGAAGCAUGGAGAUUGAGUGACUUGACCAGUCAGAGUUAGAGAAGAGAUUGGAAUUCAGACCCAGGUCUCCCAUAGUCACCUGCCAGAAAUCAUUCUUCAUUCCAUGGAAAAUGGAGAAUUGGUGAUUUGCAAUUCUGUUAAGAACGAUUGGGAAAUCACGCACUUCCAAAGUCAUUGGAAGCCUCUGAAUUACCAUCCUUAAGGAAUAAAUCUUGUCCAAAUAAA